GAUCAUGGCUCAGGAUGAACGCUAGCUACAGGCUUAACACAUGCAAGUCGAGGGGCAGCAUUUUAGUUUGCUUGCAAACUGAAGAUGGCGACCAGCGCACGGGUGAGUAACACGUAUCCAACCUGCCGAUAACUCCGGAAUAGCCUUUCGAAAGAAAGAUUAAUACCGGAUGGCAUACGAAUAUCGCAUGAUAUUUUUAUUAAAGAAUUUCGGUUAUCGAUGGGGAUGCGUUCCAUUAG
This 239-nucleotide ribosomal RNA is filed under the name uncultured bacterium. RNAcentral's name for it is "partial 16S ribosomal RNA". It matches the Rfam family "Bacterial small subunit ribosomal RNA", at positions 15 to 244 of the family's 1533-position model. The record is from RNAcentral.